RNAcentral lists this ribosomal RNA (116 nucleotides) under Escherichia coli O111:NM str. K6723. RNAcentral's name for it is "partial 23S ribosomal RNA". The stretch from base 1 to 98 matches the Rfam family "Bacterial large subunit ribosomal RNA", at positions 2828 to 2925 of the family's 2925-position model. The record is from RNAcentral. Lineage: Bacteria; Pseudomonadati; Pseudomonadota; Gammaproteobacteria; Enterobacterales; Enterobacteriaceae.
UGAAGGAACGUUGAAGACGACGACGUUGAUAGGCCGGAUGUGUAAGCGCAGCGAUGCGUUGAGCUAACCGGUACUAAUGAACCGUGAGGCUUAACCUUACAACGCCGAAGGUGUUU